CACUCGGACUAUGUUCUUUGCCGUGGCUCCAUCCAUUGACCCUGCACUUGUAAGUGAAAGUGAGGCAGUGAUGACCACAGAUGCUUUCUGCGGGCGCCGUCGCGAUGCAGUGAUGACUAGAAAGAACCAUCAGAGAGACGCACACCACAAAACACACGACAUAAUGCUUUCAUCUUAUUCCUUUUCAAAUGAGCGUGAGUUCAGGAAGGCUAUGGUUGGCAAUUAAUUUUAAUCUUAAAGCAAUACUAUGUAAUAAUUGUACCUUCAACCAACAAAAACAGUCAAUGGCAAGAGUAGUUUCUGUGUCAAAGCUAUGUCAACGCCUUUUGUAAAAAAUAUAAUAAAAUAAAUAGUAGACCAGUCAGGGCACCUCUCAUGUCUGGGCUAGCUUCAAUGCUAACACUACUGUUUGUAAGGUUUUUUUCUCUUAACAUGCCAACUUUUUCUCUGAAGAUGACAUUUUUUUUGCAUGGGAAAACUAUUGUCAGGCUCAGGGAGCUGUGUUUGUUGGAAUCCGAAAUGCAGACACAGGAAUGAGUCCAAAAGUUCAAUAUAUAUUUUAUGUAGAAACAAAGGAGGCCAAAACACAGGAACUUAAGGCGACGGUGCAGAAACUAAGGAGGGCACCGUGGGCAAAAAACAAGGACAACACUGAACAAAAAGGUACUGGAAGUACAACAUGAGCUGGACGGAGGUCUGGUGCAGCAGGACGACUGAGCUGGUUGGAGUGGCAAGAUGAACUUCAACGGGAGGAUAAAGGUAAGUGGUAGCAGGAGAAAUGCACAUGGUCUGGAAGCACAACCAUGGAGAAUAAUCCAGCGCUGGCUGGCUGCAGGUGAGGAGACUAAAAACGAUGCUGAUUGAAAACAGUUGCAGGGAUCCGGCAGAUCCGCCCAGCUCAGGAGGCGUCACAAUCUGAACAAGUCAACAGACGAGAAAUUCCGGGGUUCUCGAGUUGGGCGGAGCUACAGGACGUGCGCAGCUGUUCCUCAUUUUCAUUCUCCCUGGCCGCGGGUCACAUCCGUCCUUCUUCUUCCCCUCUUGCGGCUGGAUUUGGUCAAGAAGAAAGAUGGUUCCCAGACAAGCCAGGUGGUGUCCAUUGAAUGUGGUGGGGGGAUACUCUCACACUCUGCGUUGACACUGAUCCUGGGGUUCUCGAGUUGGGCGGAGCUUCAGGACGUGCGCAGCUGUCCCUCAUUUUCAUCACCCUUUUUAUUCUCACCUGUGGCGGCUGGGUGGCACUCGGUGAUUCUUCCUGGGUGAGCCUCCAUGCCAUGUGCUCUCUCUUCUGCUGUUGGUCAUCCCAGGUGCCAUCCAGUCCAGCCUGGUUUCUCUGCAGUACGUGUGUAGCUCCGCCUGACCGGUUUUGUAUUUGUUGAGAUUAUUUUUGCUCCUGUUUUUCCGUGAUGUACUUUUGUU
This is a long non-coding RNA of Dunckerocampus dactyliophorus (ringed pipefish), 1419 nucleotides long. RefSeq lists it as uncharacterized. NCBI's taxonomy places the organism in Eukaryota, Metazoa, Chordata, Actinopteri, Syngnathiformes, Syngnathidae. The record is from RefSeq and is a predicted model, not a curated record. The transcript is spliced from 4 exons.